UGGGGAAUAUUGGACAAUGGAGGAAACUCUGAUCCAGCAAUUCUGUGUGUGUGAAGAAGGUUUUAGGACUGUAAAACACUUCUAGUAGGGAAGAAAAAAAUGACGGUACCUACAGAAGAAGCAACGGCUAAAUACGUGCCAGCAGCCGCGGUAAUACGUAUGUUGCGAGCGUUAUCCGGAAUUAUUGGGCUUAAAGGGCAUCUAGGCGGUAAGACAAGUUGAAGGUGAAAACCUGUGGCUCAACCAUAGGCUUGCCUACAAAACUGUUGAACUAGAGUACUGGAAAGGUGGGUGGAACUACACGAGUAGAGGUGAAAUUCGUAGAUAUGUGUAGGAAUGCCGAUGAUGAAGAUAACUCACUGGACAGAAACUGACGCUGAAGUGCGAAAGCUAGGGGAGCAAACAGG
RNAcentral lists this ribosomal RNA (407 nucleotides) under Verrucomicrobiota bacterium. RNAcentral's name for it is "Verrucomicrobia bacterium partial 16S ribosomal RNA". It matches the Rfam family "Bacterial small subunit ribosomal RNA", at positions 355 to 776 of the family's 1533-position model. Lineage: Bacteria; Pseudomonadati; Verrucomicrobiota. The record is from RNAcentral.